UAGCCUCUAGCUAAACAAGUAUUAAAGGUAAUGCCUGCCCAGUGAAAUCACUAUUUCAACGGCCGCGGUACCCUAACCGUGCAAAGGUAGCGUAAUCAUUUGUCCACUAAUUAUGGACCAGUAUGAAAGGCCACAUGAGAGCCUAACUGUCUCUUGUAACCGAUUUAUAAAACUGAUCCUCCAGUCCAAAAGCUGGAAUAUUAAUAUAAGACGAGAAGACCCUGUGAAGCUUAAAAAAUUCCUCUAGGAAGACACCAUCUUCCAUAGUGAUUAUUUUUAGUUGGGGCAACUUUGGAGUCAAUACAACCUCCAAAAAAGUAAAACUUCACCAAGACUUACAAGUCAAUAACGACCCAGUAAAACUGAAAAAUGAACAAAGUUACUCCAGGGAUAACAGCGCAAUCUUCUUCAAGAGCUCAUAUCAAAAAGAAGGUUUACGACCUCGAUGUUGGAUCAGGACACCCAAAUGGCGCAGCCGCUAUUAAAGGUUCGUUUGUUCAACGAUUA
RNAcentral lists this ribosomal RNA (507 nucleotides) under Amerotyphlops minuisquamus. RNAcentral describes it as "partial large subunit ribosomal RNA". It matches the Rfam family "Bacterial large subunit ribosomal RNA", at positions 1816 to 2590 of the family's 2925-position model. The record is from RNAcentral. Lineage: Eukaryota; Metazoa; Chordata; Lepidosauria; Squamata; Typhlopidae.